RNAcentral lists this unclassified non-coding RNA (4490 nucleotides) under Cimex lectularius (bed bug). RNAcentral's name for it is "cyclin-dependent kinase 12, transcript variant X7". The record is from RNAcentral. Lineage: Eukaryota; Metazoa; Arthropoda; Insecta; Hemiptera; Cimicidae.
CAGGGACAAUCCUGUUCGAGUUGUAGAAAGCGAUCGGGACCCAUUCGCCCAUUCCGACUCGAGAAAUAUUGAGAAUUCGUAGCACAGUCAAAAUGGACGAACACAUAGUACGUGUUCAUUAACAGAAAGAAUAAAGUCGAAAAUCAUAAACGAACCAAACUAGAAAAAAGAGAAAAUUGAAUAAUAAAAGAAUAAACUGAGAGAGAGAGAGAGACGCUUUUACCUCUUUACUAUUUCAAUUGAUAAUACUGCCGAAUCGGAGCGGAACUAUUACAUUUUAACCCCACGUUUUUCGUUUUGUGUUUGUGAGGAGAAACUGGCCCGUCGCAGGACGAAGGGUGUAGAAAGAAGAACGGAUUUAACUUCCGUACCGAUUGCAGCCGAUUAUCGGAAUCAUUACGAAGAGUGUUUGACAUGAAGAUUCCUCUAAUUUUAAAAAGGCGAAAUGCCCAGCUAUGAUGGACCUGACAAAGAGUCUGUGCGGGAAAAGAAAAAGCUUAGUUCCAAAAUGGAAAAAAGUGAUAAAAAGAAACGGUCUAAAGAUUAUGAGAAAAAGCUGAAGAAAAAACGAAAGAACAGAGAGAGUUCAGAGAGCAAAAAGUUAGUCAAGCCCUUAGUCGAGUACUCGGAUGUAAGUUCUGAAGAAUUAUCCAGCCCUGAGGCUGGAGAAAUUCAAAGUGAAGACAGUGGACAUUUAGAAUUUGCUCCGGCUUUAAUACCAGAGCGUUUUCAUUAUCGACUCUCUGCAGAUUCCAGAGAUACAUAUUCACCGUCUCCUUCUGUUGAUUCUAGAAGGAAUUGGGACGGAAAUUUGGAAAGUAAAACAAAAAAACGAAAGCUAUCACCUUCUCCCAUAUCGUACAGUAGAUCAAAAGAAAAAAAGUCAAAGAAAUCUAGUAAAAAACACAGUCCUGGUCAUAAGAGAAAAAAAAGAAAGAAAUCUCGUGAAAAAAGUAGGGAAAGGAAUAAAUCGCCUAUCCAUGUGCCAGAUUUAUUUUUAAUACAUUUUAUGAAUAAUAGUCCACAUUCUUCACUUAAUGCCCCUAAUUAUUACGACGAACUUGAAGAAAUUAAACAGUCAAAACGAAUAGAAAAUAAUAAUGGAUCAUCUUUUCCUUCAGCGGUGUCACCCCGUUCUGCAAGUGAUAUAGACUUAAAAAAUACAAACCACCCUUCUCCCCAUACUCCACCCACAGAAGAACAUCCACCUCCUCAGCCAAGCUUUUCAUCCAAUAGACGAAGUGCUCCUCAACCAGUUUCACCCUCUCGAAGUUUAGAAGAAGGUGAGAGACCUCAUCGAACACCUAGUCCAUUUGGGCCGGAAUCAAGCCCUGAUAUGGGUAGGGACAGAGACAAAAAAAGAGACAGUUCAUUAAAAAGGCAUCGAGAUUCCCCAGUUUUAAAGUCUUCAUCCUCAAACCAUAGACAUUCUGAAAAAGUUUCUGACAUGAAAAAACACAAAAGGAAGUCUCCUUCUAGAUAUGAUGUUGAUAAGCAUUCAAGAUCUUCAAGGAGACAUUCUCCAUCUCCAAGAUCGCCGAUUUCUAGGCCAAGGAGGCAGACUCCUUCUUAUGAAAGAGAAGACCGGAGGUGGACUCGGGACAAAAUGUCUCCUAGUAGAUAUAACAGACACGAAUCACCACACAGCCGAAAGAGGAGAAAGGAAAGAGAGAGCGGUGAAAAGAAGAGAGAGCGUCUUAGGGACAAACAUAAGAAAAGACGGCAUCACGAUAGCCGGUCCAAAUCCAAGAGCCCAUUGAGGAUGUUGACAAUUCGAGUGAGAAGGUCAGUAUCGAGGUCAAGGAGUUGGAAACGGACUAGAUCAAGAAGUCCCCCGAAUAUGUUAAGCCACGGUCGAUCACCUGUCCGUCAUAGCAGAAGUCCUCCAAUUGCUAGACAUAGUCGUUCCCCAAUGCAUAAGAGAAGCUUGAAGAGCCGUCCUUCGCGAUCUCCUUCCCAUAGUCCAUCUAGUCUUAGAAAAGUCCGUGAAAUAUCUGCUAAAGUCAAAAUGAGUGAGACAUCACUGUUUGCAGAACUUGUCAAAGACAGAAAUAUGCGAGAGCUUGCCAUGAAACGUUUGGCUGAACUUGCAGAAAAAAAAGAGACAGUUGAAGAAAAUUCAAAUUCGGUCGAAGCGAAGGAAGAACCAGAGGUCAUUUCUCAAUUUGAUAAAUGUGAAGAUAUUCAAGGCGAAGAUGAAAUAACUGUUUGCGAAAUGAUGGACUCAAAUGAUGCCACUAGAGACGAACUGAAUCCUCUGACAUCAACAGUAUUCAUUCCACCUCCGAUCCCUCCACCGGAUUGCCUUCCUCCUGAAAUACCUCCUCCGCCUAUUCCUCCUCUAGAGCUAAUGCAGCCAGUGGAUGAAGCUCCUCCGAUCACUUCACCGCAGGGUAGAGUACCAAAGAAUCUCCAUCCUCCCAAACUUCCUAUGCCUCCUGGUAUUAAUCAAAACGAUCUAGAAAGCAUAGAUUCACCUCCAAGUGGAUCUCCCAGUCCUUUCUCUGACAAACCUGUUCCUCAAGGGAAAAAGAGCAUUAGAGACCUUCCUCUUCCAGCUGUAGCUGGUGCCGAAGAGCUCAGUGCUGAAGAGGAUAUUAGUAGUACACCACCUCACAGUUUUACAAAAAAAAUGGCCACUCAACCCAGUAGCCCAGCACUUCAACAAAGAAUGAGAGCUGUGAGUGGGCAUAUCGCAAGAAAAUCAGUGGGACGACUGACACGACCUAAGAUUCUCUAUAAAGGAAAAACUAAACCAACUCCUGCUAGUAAAACCUGGGGAGAAAGAUGUGUGGACGUUUUUGAAGUAAUAGCUCUCAUAGGGGAAGGCACCUACGGUCAAGUCUAUAAAGCUAAAGACCGACAGCAAGAGCUUGUUGCCCUUAAGAAAGUGCGUCUUGAAAAUGAGAAAGAGGGAUUUCCUGUUACGGCUGUACGUGAAAUUAAAAUUCUGAGACAAUUGAACCACAAAAACAUAGUAAAUCUGAGGGAAAUAGUUACGGACAAGCAGGAUGCACUUGACUUUCGUAAGGAUAAAGGUUCUUUCUAUCUUGUUUUUGAAUACAUGGAUCACGAUCUUCACGGGCUGCUUGAAUCUGGUAUGGUAGAUUUCGCAGAACAGCACAAUGCUAGUAUAAUGAGGCAGCUUUUAGAAGGAUUGAACUACUGCCACAAAAAAAACUUUUUACAUAGGGAUAUAAAAUGUAGCAAUAUUCUAAUGAAUAAUAGGGGUGAGGUCAAACUGGCUGACUUUGGCCUGGCUCGAUUGUAUAAUGCUGAGGACAGGCAAAGACCUUAUACAAACAAAGUAAUAACAUUAUGGUAUAGACCUCCAGAACUGUUGUUAGGGGAGGAAAGGUAUGGACCAGCGAUUGAUAUCUGGUCGUGUGGAUGUAUACUUGGUGAAUUGUUCCUAAAAAAACCACUUUUCCAGCAGAGUAACGAGAUGAUGCAGUUAGAGAUAAUUUCAAGACUUUGUGGAACACCGACCCCCGCUGUCUGGCCACUUGUGAUAGAACUCCCUCUGUGGCAUUUGCUCAAGUCAAAGAAAAUUCAUAGAAGAAGGUUGAGGGAUGAGUUCGCAUUUAUGCCUUCUUCAGCUCUGGAUCUCCUGGAUAGAAUGUUGGUAUUAGAUCCAAACAAGAGGAUAACAGCAGAAAUGGCACUCAAAUCAGCCUGGCUGAGAAAUAUUGUUCCAGAAAAGAUGGCACCGCCACAGCUUCCAACUUGGCAGGAUUGCCACGAGUUAUGGAGCAAAAAACAAAGGAAACAGAUGAAAGGGCUUAAUGAACAGCAGCAAGCUCUUCAAAGAGGCCACCGAGGCGAUGAUAACUGUGAUAAUGCUGGAGGAUCUCCAAAUAAAUCAAGAAUAGAUCGCCUUUGUCUAGACAGGGAGAUCCAGUUACACAUCAACUAGUCGAAAGUUUACGUACAGAGUUAAGGACUGCAGCAAGUAACAAUGGGAGUGGGAAACUUGACCCAAAGCAAAUGGUGUUUUAUCCACAGGGUGAUGCUGUAAGUGGAUCAAAUAUUUGUGGAACUCUAUCGUCAGGGGUUCUAGCAACUGAAGGUGUGCGAUUAACACUGUCAACCCUGAUGUCAAGGUUCAACCAGACUGCAGCAGCAGCGGUUUUACAUCCUCACAACAAUAACUGAAUUAAUUCUAAUUAAACCAAAACAAAAAAUAGUUUUGUCUUUAUAAUUUGAACACAAGAAGAACUGUGAUGGUUAGAUUAGACUCCUCAAUAACAUAAAGACAUUUCUUCUCGAGAUUUUUUCCUGUUUCGAGUGAUUUAUUUGUCUGGUGUUUCCUAUGGAUUAUAGCUGUACCUUUUAUCCAUUUAUUCCUCCAUUAGAAUAUAGAUUAUUUUGUACUUAACAUUUACAACCAACAACAGAACAAAGUGCUAUUUUAUGUAAAUAUAUAUAUGUUGAAAUGUAAAUAAUACUUUAAGAAUUUGCCAAUAAAUUGUAUACCUUGUGGGGAUAAA